GAAGAUUCAGAACAAACAGAAAGAAGCAGAAUCAGAAGCUGAGUCAGAAGAAACUCAACAGAAGGAAGGUCUUCAGGAAGAGUUUGCAGAGGAAGAAGCUGAAGUAGAUGAGCUAGAGGAGUUGAUAGAAGAGCUUUCCCAGGCAGAAGAACAGAUGGAAGAUGAGCCAACAGGUAAAC
Long non-coding RNA from Salvelinus sp. IW2-2015, 179 nucleotides. RefSeq lists it as uncharacterized. NCBI's taxonomy places the organism in Eukaryota, Metazoa, Chordata, Actinopteri, Salmoniformes, Salmonidae. The record is from RefSeq and is a predicted model, not a curated record.